Molecule: ribosomal RNA, 537 nt
Filed under: uncultured Acidobacteriota bacterium
Lineage: Bacteria; Pseudomonadati; Acidobacteriota
Description: bacterial SSU rRNA
Rfam family: Bacterial small subunit ribosomal RNA
Source: RNAcentral
UUGAUCCUGGCUCAGAAUCAACGCUGGCGGCGUGCCUAACACAUGCAAGUCGAACGCGAAAGGGGCUUCGGCCCUGAGUAGAGUGGCGAACGGGUGAGUUACACGUGGGUGAUCUACCUUCGAGUGGGGGAUAACGUCCCGAAAGGGACUCUAAUACCGCAUGACGUUCUGGGUUUGAAGACCUGGAAACCAAAGCUGGUGACCGCAAGGCCUGGCGCUAGAAGAGGAGCCCGCGCCUGAUUAGCUAGUUGGCGGGGUAACGGCCCACCAAGGCGACGAUCAGUAGCCGGCCUGAGAGGUCGGACGGCCACACUGGGACUGAGACACGGCCCAGACUCCUACGGGAGGCUGCAGUGGGGAAUUGUUCGCAAUGGGCGCAAGCCUGACGACGCAACGCCGUGUGGAGGAUGAAGGCCUUCGGGUCGUAAACUCCUGUUGAUCGGGAAGAAUGGGCUCUGGGUAAAUAGCCCGGAGCAGUGACGGUACCGAUUGAGGAAGCUACGGCUAACUCUGUGCCAGCAGCCGCGGUAAUAAGGU